GAGGGUAUAGCUCAGUGGUAGAGCGCAUGCUUAGCCUGCAGGAGGUUCUGGGUUCAACCCCCAGUACCUCCA
Molecule: transfer RNA, 72 nt
Filed under: Camelus bactrianus (Bactrian camel)
Lineage: Eukaryota; Metazoa; Chordata; Mammalia; Artiodactyla; Camelidae
Also listed under: 1 other name
Rfam family: tRNA
About the family: Transfer RNA (tRNA) molecules are approximately 80 nucleotides in length. Their secondary structure includes four short double-helical elements and three loops (D, anti-codon, and T loops). Further hydrogen bonds mediate the characteristic L-shaped molecular structure. tRNAs have two regions of fundamental functional importance: the anti-codon, which is responsible for specific mRNA codon recognition, and the 3' end, to which the tRNAs corresponding amino acid is attached (by aminoacyl-tRNA synthetases). tRNAs cope with the degeneracy of the genetic code in two manners: having more than one tRNA (with a specific anti-codon) for a particular amino acid; and 'wobble' base-pairing, i.e. permitting non-standard base-pairing at the 3rd anti-codon position.
Source: Rfam by way of RNAcentral